RNAcentral lists this long non-coding RNA (401 nucleotides) under Gallus gallus (chicken). RNAcentral describes it as "long non-coding RNA NONGGAT005418". The record is from RNAcentral. Lineage: Eukaryota; Metazoa; Chordata; Aves; Galliformes; Phasianidae.
CUUGGGGAUGAGACAUGCCUUUAGUCAUGGGUGUGUGUGCAUGUGUUUCAUCCACCAGGUGAAGAAGCGGUGCUGCAGAGGUGAGAGGCAGUGGGUUAACUCAGUGCUGUUCCUUCCUGCUGCUCCCGGGCUGACUCAGCUCACGCCGGCUGCGCGGUCACGGCAGCACCAGCAGCGGGGAUGCAGCGUUGCUGCAAUGCAUGCAGCUGCACACCAUGUAAGCCAGUCGUGUCCAUUCCACAAAGGAAACUGCCCUGCACACGCACGAUGCUCGCUGUGUUUACCUGCGUUUCCUUCACCAUGGCAGAGAUUUUGACGGUGCAGUUUCGCUCUGACUCACCACUGCUGACUGCUGUGGAAACGCAUUGACUCUGCAGUACUACGAAGCAGUUGCAUGAAUG